This 535-nucleotide small RNA is filed under the name Vigna angularis var. angularis. RNAcentral describes it as "Non-protein coding transcript". Lineage: Eukaryota; Viridiplantae; Streptophyta; Magnoliopsida; Fabales; Fabaceae. The record is from RNAcentral.
GCCCUGUAUAAUUAGAUCUACAACCCAAUAAAAAAUGGAAAAAAUGAAAUAUGAUAUUCUACUAUGAUCACAAGAUGCCUUUUCCAAGUCUCACAGAGUCUUGGAAUUUGCACUUAAGGUCAAACACAUCCCAACAAAACUAGUUUAUAAAAUGAGGACUACCCAUAGCCUAUUUUCGAAACCAAGCACUACUUAACUUUUAUUUGAAGCUGAUGUGAGAUGUCAACCUGCUAAGAGCCAGUGUUUUGGUGGCUUCAACUAUGACGCUGCACUUAGCUUUCUGGUCAAUCCCUCCAUAGGUAGGUUUUCAAAGACAAUGAAGCCUAGAGGUAACCACAACUAAGCUGGCUUAUAAGUUUCAACAAACCAUUUCACUCCCAAGACUAUAUAGCAUGGCAAUGCAAGUUGCCCAAUAAUAGAUCUAGCAUAGACUUUGAUAUCUUCUUUUUUUAGUUUCUUUAUUAAAGAAGAUAGACUAAUCUAAAACAUGAACUGAGAUAUGAAUUUUCUAUCCUAAAUAUCAAUAUUGAUGAAA